AACGACUCUCGGCAACGGAU
This 20-nucleotide non-coding RNA is filed under the name Arabidopsis thaliana (thale cress). The record is from RNAcentral. Lineage: Eukaryota; Viridiplantae; Streptophyta; Magnoliopsida; Brassicales; Brassicaceae.